RNAcentral lists this ribosomal RNA (466 nucleotides) under uncultured bacterium. Its description in RNAcentral is "partial 16S ribosomal RNA". It matches the Rfam family "Bacterial small subunit ribosomal RNA", at positions 28 to 507 of the family's 1533-position model. The record is from RNAcentral.
GACGAACGCUGGCGGCGUGCUUAACACAUGCAAGUCGAACGGAAAGGCCCAGCUUGCUGGGUACUCGAGUGGCGAACGGGUGAGUAACACGUGGGUGAUCUGCCCUGGACUCUGGGAUAAGCCUGGGAAACUGGGUCUAAUACCGGAUAUGACCUUACAUCGCAUGGUGUUUGGUGGAAAGCUUUUGCGGUUCAGGAUGGGCCCGCGGCCUAUCAGCUUGUUGGUGGGGUAAUGGCCUACCAAGGCGACGACGGGUAGCCGACCUGAGAGGGUGAUCGGACACACUGGGACUGCGACACGGCCCAGACGCCUACGGGAGGCAGCAGUGGGGAAUAUUGCGCAAUGGGCGCAAGCCUGAUGCAGCGACGCCGCGUGAGGGAUGACGGCCUUCGGGUUGUAAACCUCUUUCACCAGGGACGAAGCGUGAGUGACGGUACCUGGAGAAGAAGCACCGGCCAACUACGUG